CAUGGUGGAGAUGAAGGCUGGAGUGAGUGGAUUUGGCUGUAUUGGGCGCCUGGUCACCAGGGCUGCUUUUAACUCUGGCAAAAUGGAUAUUGUCACCAUCAAUGACCCCUUCAUUAAACUCAACCACAUGGUCUACAUGUUCCAGUACAACUCCACAGCUCCAUCAAGGCCAAGAACAGGAAGCUUGUCAUCAUUGGAAAUCCCAUCUCCAUCUUCCAGGAUCGAGAUCUCACCAAAAUCAAAUGGGGCAAUGCUGGCACUGAUUAUGUGAUGGAGUCCACCAGGGUCCUCACUACCUUCGAGAAGACUGGGGCUCACUUACAGGGGGAAACCAAAAGGGUCAUCAUCUCUGCCCUCUUCACUGACACCCCCAUGUUUGUGAUGGGCAUGAACCAUGAGAAGUAUCAGAACAACCUCAUGAUUGUCAACAAUACCUCCCGUACCACCACCUGCUUAGCCCCUCUGGCCAAGGUCAUCCAUGACAACUUUGGCAUCACGGAGGGUCUCGUGACCACCGUCCAUGCCAUCACUGCCACCCAGAAGACCGUGGAGGGCCCCUCUGAGAAUCUGUGGCAUGAUGGCCACGAGGUCCUCCAGAACACCAUCUCUGGAUCCAGCAGCGCUGCUAAGCCCAUGGGCAAGGUCAUCCCCGAGCUGAAGCGGAAGCUUAUGGUCAUGGCCUUCCAUGUCCCCACUGCCAAUGUGUCCGUAGUGGACCUGACCUGCCAUCUAAAGAAAUCUGCCAAAUAUGAUGACAUCAAGAAAGUGGUGAAGCAGUCAUCUGAGGGUCCCCUCUAGGGCAUCCUGGGCUAUACCAAGCACAGGUUGUAUCCUCCAACUUCAACAGUGACACUCAGUCUUCUACCUUUGAUGCUGGGGCUGGCAUUGCCCUCGAUGACCACUUUGUCAAGCUCAUCUCUUGGUAUGACAGUGAAUUACAGCAACAGAGUGGUGGAUCUCAUGAGUCCCAUGGCCUCCAAGGAGUAA
Carlito syrichta (Philippine tarsier) is the source of this 987-nucleotide RNA transcript. It is a transcript of the gene named glyceraldehyde-3-phosphate dehydrogenase pseudogene, with no coding region annotated. The transcript has a single exon. The record is from RefSeq and is a predicted model, not a curated record. NCBI's taxonomy places the organism in Eukaryota, Metazoa, Chordata, Mammalia, Primates, Tarsiidae.